GACGAACGCUGGCGGCGUGCCUAAUACAUGCAAGUCGAACGCUGAAGGAGGAGCUUGCUUCUCUGGAUGAGUUGCGAACGGGUGAGUAACGCGUAGGUAACCUGCCUGGUAGCGGGGGAUAACUAUUGGAAACGAUAGCUAAUACCGCAUAAGAGUAGAUGUCGCAUGACAUUUGCUUAAAAGGUGCAAUUGCAUCACUACCAGAUGGACCUGCGUUGUAUUAGCUAGUUGGUGAGGUAACGGCUCACCAAGGCAACGAUACAUAGCCGACCUGAGAGGGUGAUCGGCCACACUGGGACGGAGACACGGCCCAGACUACUACGGGAGGCAGCAGUAGGGAAUCUUCGGCAAUGGACGGAAGUCUGACCGAGCAACGCCGCGUGAGUGAAGAAGGUUGUCGGAUCGUAAAGCUCUGUUGUAAGAGAAGAACGAGUGUGAGAGUGGAAAGUUCACACUGUGACGGUAUCUGACCAGAAAGGGACGGCUAACUACGUG
Molecule: ribosomal RNA, 495 nt
Filed under: uncultured bacterium
Lineage: Bacteria
Description: partial 16S ribosomal RNA
Rfam family: Bacterial small subunit ribosomal RNA
Source: RNAcentral